UGAACGCUGGCGGCAUGCUUUCCACAUGCACGUCGAACGGUAACAGGCCGCAAGGUGCUGACGAGUGGCGAACGGGUGAGUAAUGCAUCGGAACGUGCCCAGUCGUGGGGGAUAACUACUCGAAAGAGUAGCUAAUACCGCAUACGAUCUAUGGAUGAAAGCGGGGGACCGUAAGGCCUCGCGCGAUUGGAGCGGCCGAUGUCAGAUUAGGUAGUUGGUGGGGUAAAGGCUCACCAAGCCAACGAUCUGUAGCUGGUCUGAGAGGACGACCAGCCACACUGGGACUGAGACACGGCCCAGACUCCUACGGGAGGCAGCAGUGGGGAAUUUUGGACAAUGGGCGCAAGCCUGAUCCAGCAAUGCCGCGUGCAGGAAGAAGGCCUUCGGGUUGUAAACUGCUUUUGUACGGAACGAAACGGCUCUGGUUAAUACCCGGGGCUAAUGACGGUACCGUAAGAAUAAGCACCGGCUAACUACGUG
This 480-nucleotide ribosomal RNA is filed under the name uncultured bacterium. RNAcentral describes it as "partial 16S ribosomal RNA". It matches the Rfam family "Bacterial small subunit ribosomal RNA", at positions 30 to 507 of the family's 1533-position model. The record is from RNAcentral.